RNAcentral lists this ribosomal RNA (775 nucleotides) under uncultured Neocallimastigales. RNAcentral's name for it is "partial large subunit ribosomal RNA". It matches the Rfam family "Eukaryotic large subunit ribosomal RNA", at positions 18 to 643 of the family's 3401-position model. Lineage: Eukaryota; Fungi; Neocallimastigomycota; Neocallimastigomycetes; Neocallimastigales. The record is from RNAcentral.
UCAGACGAUGCGUCAUGCAUAUCAAUAAGCGGAGGAAAAGAAACUAACAAGGAUUCCCCUAGUAACGGCGAGUGAAGCGGGAAGAGCUCAAAUUUGAAAUCUUAAAGGGUUUCCCUUUACGAAUUGUAGUUUAAAGAAGUGUUUUCUGUUGAGGUUUUGGUAAAAGUUCUUUGGAAUAGGACAUCAUAGAGGGUGAGAAUCCCGUAUUUGACCUUUACUUUCAACUUUGUGAUACACUUUCAAAGAGUCGGAUUGUUUGGGAAUGCAGUCCAAAAUGGGUGGUAAAUUUCAUCUAAAGCUAAAUAUUGGCGAGAGACCGAUAGCGAACAAGUACCGUGAGGGAAAGAUGAAAAGAACUUUGAAAAGAGAGUUAAACAGUACGUGAAAUUGUCAAAAGGGAAGCGUUUGACACCAGUGUUGUUUUUCUGAAAAUCAAUUAAAGAACUGUUUAUGCUAAGCUGUUUAGACUUUAUCAGCUAUCUGUUUAGUUUUGAGCUUUUCUUUAAUGCACUUUUCAGUUAACAAGUCAACAUCAAUUUCUUUUGCUGUAAAAAAGCUUGAGGAAGGUGGCUUGAGAUUCGUCUUAAGUGUUUAUAGCCUCUUGCCUAUGCAGUCGGAGGAGAUUGAGGUCUGCAGCGUAGAUCCUUCGGGGCUAAAUGCAUUUGUGCUAAGUUAUAGCAUUUUAUAGACAACUUGUUGACUAUGAUUUGUCUUGUAGCUUACUCGCUUAUGUUAUUUUACCUACGCUUAGGAUGUUGACACACGCGCGUGCUCG